RNAcentral lists this ribosomal RNA (546 nucleotides) under uncultured Dietzia sp. RNAcentral's name for it is "bacterial SSU rRNA". It matches the Rfam family "Bacterial small subunit ribosomal RNA", at positions 525 to 1071 of the family's 1533-position model. The record is from RNAcentral. Lineage: Bacteria; Bacillati; Actinomycetota; Actinomycetes; Mycobacteriales; Dietziaceae.
ACGUAGGGUGCGAGCGUUGUCCGGAAUUACUGGGCGCAAAGAGCUCGUAGGCGGUUUGUCACGUCGUCUGUGAAAUCCCUCGGCUUAACCGGGGGCGUGCAGGCGAUACGGGCAGACUUGAGUACUACAGGGGAGACUGGAAUUCCUGGUGUAGCGGUGAAAUGCGCAGAUAUCAGGAGGAACACCGGUGGCGAAGGCGGGUCUCUGAGUAGUAACUGACGCUGAGGAGCGAAAGCAUGGGUAGCGAACAGGAUUAGAUACCCUGGUAGUCCAUGCCGUAAACGGUGGGCGCUAGGUGCGGGGUCCUUCCACGGACUCCGCGCCGUAGCUAACGCAUUAAGCGCCCCGCCUGGGGAGUACGGCCGCAAGGCUAAAACUCAAAGGAAUUGACGGGGGCCCGCACAAGCGGCGGAGCAUGUGGAUUAAUUCGAUGCAACGCGAAGAACCUUACCUAGGCUUGACAUAUACAGGACGACGGCAGAGAUGUCGUUUCCCUUGUGGCUUGUAUACAGGUGGUGCAUGGUUGUCGUCAGCUCGUGUCGUGAG